This 2130-nucleotide ribosomal RNA is filed under the name Staphylococcus aureus. Its description in RNAcentral is "partial 23S ribosomal RNA". It matches the Rfam family "Bacterial large subunit ribosomal RNA", at positions 792 to 2925 of the family's 2925-position model. The record is from RNAcentral. Lineage: Bacteria; Bacillati; Bacillota; Bacilli; Caryophanales; Staphylococcaceae.
AAAAGUGAGCGGAUGAACUGAGGGUAGCGGAGAAAUUCCAAUCGAACCUGGAGAUAGCUGGUUCUCUCCGAAAUAGCUUUAGGGCUAGCCUCAAGUGAUGAUUAUUGGAGGUAGAGCACUGUUUGGACGAGGGGCCCCUCUCGGGUUACCGAAUUCAGACAAACUCCGAAUGCCAAUUAAUUUAACUUGGGAGUCAGAACAUGGGUGAUAAGGUCCGUGUUCGAAAGGGAAACAGCCCAGACCACCAGCUAAGGUCCCAAAAUAUAUGUUAAGUGGAAAAGGAUGUGGCGUUGCCCAGACAACUAGGAUGUUGGCUUAGAAGCAGCCAUCAUUUAAAGAGUGCGUAAUAGCUCACUAGUCGAGUGACACUGCGCCGAAAAUGUACCGGGGCUAAACAUAUUACCGAAGCUGUGGAUUGUCCUUUGGACAAUGGUAGGAGAGCGUUCUAAGGGCGUUGAAGCAUGAUCGUAAGGACAUGUGGAGCGCUUAGAAGUGAGAAUGCCGGUGUGAGUAGCGAAAGACGGGUGAGAAUCCCGUCCACCGAUUGACUAAGGUUUCCAGAGGAAGGCUCGUCCGCUCUGGGUUAGUCGGGUCCUAAGCUGAGGCCGACAGGCGUAGGCGAUGGAUAACAGGUUGAUAUUCCUGUACCACCUAUAAUCGUUUUAAUCGAUGGGGGGACGCAGUAGGAUAGGCGAAGCGUGCGAUUGGAUUGCACGUCUAAGCAGUAAGGCUGAGUAUUAGGCAAAUCCGGUACUCGUUAAGGCUGAGCUGUGAUGGGGAGAAGACAUUGUGUCUUCGAGUCGUUGAUUUCACACUGCCGAGAAAAGCCUCUAGAUAGAAAAUAGGUGCCCGUACCGCAAACCGACACAGGUAGUCAAGAUGAGAAUUCUAAGGUGAGCGAGCGAACUCUCGUUAAGGAACUCGGCAAAAUGACCCCGUAACUUCGGGAGAAGGGGUGCUCUUUAGGGUUAACGCCCAGAAGAGCCGCAGUGAAUAGGCCCAAGCGACUGUUUAUCAAAAACACAGGUCUCUGCUAAACCGUAAGGUGAUGUAUAGGGGCUGACGCCUGCCCGGUGCUGGAAGGUUAAGAGGAGUGGUUAGCUUCUGCGAAGCUACGAAUCGAAGCCCCAGUAAACGGCGGCCGUAACUAUAACGGUCCUAAGGUAGCGAAAUUCCUUGUCGGGUAAGUUCCGACCCGCACGAAAGGCGUAACGAUUUGGGCACUGUCUCAACGAGAGACUCGGUGAAAUCAUAGUACCUGUGAAGAUGCAGGUUACCCGCGACAGGACGGAAAGACCCCGUGGAGCUUUACUGUAGCCUGAUAUUGAAAUUCGGCACAGCUUGUACAGGAUAGGUAGGAGCCUUUGAAACGUGAGCGCUAGCUUACGUGGAGGCGCUGGUGGGAUACUACCCUAGCUGUGUUGGCUUUCUAACCCGCACCACUUAUCGUGGUGGGAGACAGUGUCAGGCGGGCAGUUUGACUGGGGCGGUCGCCUCCUAAAAGGUAACGGAGGCGCUCAAAGGUUCCCUCAGAAUGGUUGGAAAUCAUUCAUAGAGUGUAAAGGCAUAAGGGAGCUUGACUGCGAGACCUACAAGUCGAGCAGGGUCGAAAGACGGACUUAGUGAUCCGGUGGUUCCGCAUGGAAGGGCCAUCGCUCAACGGAUAAAAGCUACCCCGGGGAUAACAGGCUUAUCUCCCCCAAGAGUUCACAUCGACGGGGAGGUUUGGCACCUCGAUGUCGGCUCAUCGCAUCCUGGGGCUGUAGUCGGUCCCAAGGGUUGGGCUGUUCGCCCAUUAAAGCGGUACGCGAGCUGGGUUCAGAACGUCGUGAGACAGUUCGGUCCCUAUCCGUCGUGGGCGUAGGAAAUUUGAGAGGAGCUGUCCUUAGUACGAGAGGACCGGGAUGGACAUACCUCUGGUGUACCAGUUGUCGUGCCAACGGCAUAGCUGGGUAGCUAUGUGUGGACGGGAUAAGUGCUGAAAGCAUCUAAGCAUGAAGCCCCCCUCAAGAUGAGAUUUCCCAACUUCGGUUAUAAGAUCCCUCAAAGAUGAUGAGGUUAAUAGGUUCGAGGUGGAAGCAUGGUGACAUGUGGAGCUGACGAAUACUAAUCGAUCGAAGACUUAAUCAA